CGUAGCGAAAGCGAGUUUUAACUGAGCGUUCAGUUACUUGACGUAGACCCGAAACCGGGCGACCUACCCAUGAGCAGGAUGAAGCGAAAGUAAAAUUUCGUGGAGGUCCGAACCCACGAGCGUUGAAAAGCUCGGGGAUGACUUGUGGGUAGCGGUGAAAUUCCAAUCGAGCCCGGAGAUAGCUGGUUCUCCCCGAAAUAGCUUUAGGGCUAGCCUCAAGGUGAGAGAUACGGAGGUAGAGCACUGAAUGUCCUAGGGGGUAUUGCACCUACCGAAGACUAUCAAACUCCGAAUGCCGUCAUCUUAUACUUGGGAGUCAGACUGUGGGUGAUAAGAUUCAUAGUCGAAAGGGCAACAGCCCAGAUCGUCAGCUAAGGUCCCUAAAUGUAAGUUAAGUGGUAAAGGAUGUGGGAUUGCACAGACAACCAGGAUGUUGGCUUAGAAGCAGCCACUCAUUCAAAGAGUGCGUAAUAGCUCACUGGUCGAGUGAUCCUGCGCCGAAGAUUUCCGGGGCUAAAACUUACUACCGAAGCUACGGCAUCAGUAAUGAUGGGUAGGGGAGCUUCCCAUACGGGUUGAAGCAUGACCGUAAGGACAUGUGGACAGUAUGGGAGUGAGAAUGUUGGCAUGAGUAGCGAGAUGUGGGUGAGAAUCCCACAGGCCGUAAACCCAAGGUUUCCAGGGGAAGGUUCGUCCGCCCUGGGUUAGUCGGGACCUAAGCUGAGGCCGAAAGGCGUAGGUGAUGGACAACAGGUUGAUAUUCCUGUAC
RNAcentral lists this ribosomal RNA (769 nucleotides) under Clostridioides difficile. Its description in RNAcentral is "partial 23S ribosomal RNA". It matches the Rfam family "Bacterial large subunit ribosomal RNA", at positions 667 to 1444 of the family's 2925-position model. Lineage: Bacteria; Bacillati; Bacillota; Clostridia; Peptostreptococcales; Peptostreptococcaceae. The record is from RNAcentral.